RNAcentral lists this long non-coding RNA (226 nucleotides) under Elaeis guineensis (African oil palm). RNAcentral's name for it is "long non-coding RNA (EGUI_LNC068867)". Lineage: Eukaryota; Viridiplantae; Streptophyta; Magnoliopsida; Arecales; Arecaceae. The record is from RNAcentral.
AUUCAAGCUAAGAAAUCUAGGUCUCAUCAAAGAUCCAAGCACAUCCUCAAAUGCUUCCAUCUCGUUCGAGAAAUUGAAGGGCAAUAAGAUGUUGUCCUCGAAUGAGUAGACACUAAGAAUAACAUAGCAGACCCAUUUACUAAGACCAUGCCAUAGCAGCUAUUUGAUCGCCAUCUUAAUUGUAUGGGAUUGAAAUACAAAGGAGAUUGACUUUAGUAUAAGUGGG